AGAGUUUGAUUAUGGCUCAGGAUGAACGCUAGCUACAGGCUUAACACAUGCAAGUCGAGGGGCAGCGGGAUUGAAGCUUGCUUCAAUUGCCGGCGACCGGCGCACGGGUGAGUAACGCGUAUCCAACCUUCCGUACACUCAGGGAUAGCCUUUCGAAAGAAAGAUUAAUACCUGAUGGUAUCUUAAGCACACAUGUAAUUAAGAUUAAAGAUUUAUCGGUGUACGAUGGGGAUGCGUUCCAUUAGGUAGUAGGCGGGGUAACGGCCCACCUAGCCGACGAUGGAUAGGGGUUCUGAGAGGAAGGUCCCCCACAUUGGAACUGAGACACGGUCCAA
RNAcentral lists this ribosomal RNA (335 nucleotides) under uncultured bacterium. Its description in RNAcentral is "bacterial SSU rRNA". It matches the Rfam family "Bacterial small subunit ribosomal RNA", at positions 8 to 334 of the family's 1533-position model. The record is from RNAcentral.